This 936-nucleotide ribosomal RNA is filed under the name Paenibacillus dendritiformis. RNAcentral describes it as "bacterial SSU rRNA". It matches the Rfam family "Bacterial small subunit ribosomal RNA", at positions 94 to 1053 of the family's 1533-position model. Lineage: Bacteria; Bacillati; Bacillota; Bacilli; Caryophanales; Paenibacillaceae. The record is from RNAcentral.
AGUGGCAGACGGGUGAGUAAUACGUAGGUAACGUGCCCUUAAGACCGGGAUAACUCACGGAAACGUGGGCUAAUACCGGAUAGGCGAUUUCCUCGCAUGAGGGAAUCGGGAAAGGCGGAGCAAUCUGCCACUUAUGGAUGGACCUACGGCGCAUUAGCUAGUUGGUGGGGUAACGGCUCACCAAGGCGACGAUGCGUAGCCGACCUGAGAGGGUGAUCGGCCACACUGGGACUGAGACACGGCCCAGACUCCUACGGGAGGCAGCAGUAGGGAAUCUUCCGCAAUGGACGCAAGUCUGACAGAGCAACGCCGCGUGAGUGAUGAAGGUUUUCGGAUCGUAAAGCUCUGUUGCCAGGGAAGAACGCUAUGGAGAGUAACUGUUCCAUAUGUGACGGUACCUGAGAAGAAAGCCCCGGCUAACUACGUGCCAGCAGCCGCGGUAAUACGUAGGGGGCAAGCGUUGUCCGGAAUUAUUGGGCGUAAAGCGCGCGCAGGCGGUCAUGUAAGUCUGGUGUUUAAACCCGGGGCUCAACUCCGGGUCGCAUCGGAAACUGUGUGACUUGAGUGCAGAAGAGGAAAGUGGAAUUCCACGUGUAGCGGUGAAAUGCGUAGAGAUGUGGAGGAACACCAGUGGCGAAGGCGACUUUCUGGGCUGUACUGACGCUGAGGCGCGAAACGUGGGGAGCAACAGGAUUAAAUACCCUGGUAGUCCCGCCGUAACGAUAAAGCUAGUGUUAGGGGUUUCUAUACCUUGGUGCCCAAUUACCCAUUAAUCACUCCCCUGGGGAGUACGUCGCAGACUGAACUCAAAGAUUGACGGGGACCGCGCAGCUGUGGAUAUGUGGUUUAUUCAAGCACGCCAGAACUUACAGGUCUGACUCCUCUGACCUCCAGAGAUAGGCUUCCCUCCCGCAGAGUGACAGUGUUCAUGGUGUC